This is a long non-coding RNA of Drosophila simulans, 1441 nucleotides long. RefSeq lists it as uncharacterized. The transcript has 3 exons. NCBI's taxonomy places the organism in Eukaryota, Metazoa, Arthropoda, Insecta, Diptera, Drosophilidae. The record is from RefSeq and is a predicted model, not a curated record.
UCGAUGGCAGCAGCACUGUCUGCCAUGUGGCGACGAAGCCCCACAGCCAGAGCCAGUGCUCCCCCGCUCUCCGCUCCAUGCCUCUAGCGGUUCGCUCGCGAACAUGACUAAGCCAAACAACUUGACAACACUGUCGGGAAUUGUUGCUGCUUUUGAGUCAAUUCAUAAGAAACGAGGAAACCCGCCGCCAUAUCGUUGUUGCUGCCGUAUUUAUUUACGUACACAUGCCUGUGUAUUAUAUGCAUCCAUUAAAAAUCCAUCGACGAUAAGAACAGCGAAUUGCCCAAAGAGCUUGACAACAACAACAAUGGUAUCAGAAACGCUGAAAGUCCCCCGAAGUCUGAAACUUUCUGUGCCAAAUCGAACGGAAGCGAUUCGAUAAGAACUAUCAUCACACACACAAGCGCUCUCAAUAUGGAAAAUCCAUCAUACAUACAGAUGUGUGGAAUAUAUUCCAUGCCAUAGGAAUAGUUUUCGAUGUGUGCUCAGAUGUACAUUUAUUUGGACAGUUGACGUACGAUAACAACGCUCGGCACUUGGUCGGCGAUGAUAUCACGAAGAAAGAUCCAGAUCUAUAAUACCACGUAGCUAAACAAGUAUCUAAAGUAUCUCUAGGUGCAUGCAUUUGGUAUCCGUAUCUGUGUAAUACCAAUUGUUGGUACUCGUGGUCGAACUCGUACGAUUAAUCGAACAGGCGACGCUGCCACAUGCACGCGACGAUUGAUUACAGCAAUAAAACGUCUAUCGCAUCGAUUGAUUUAAAAAUAUAAACCCACACACACACACACACUCUCAGUCCCUCGAAGCCAUCCCAAAUGAUCGGCAAUUGGGCUGCACGGCAACAAUUAACCGGGCAUCUGUGUCCGUGUAUUUGUGUAUCUGUGCGCGCUGCGGUGUAUCUGUGGCAGUGGCAAGUAUCUGCGAGUCUGGCAAACAUAAAUAGGCACAAGUGGCCGGCCCCAAAAGUGCAGCAAAGCAACAACAACAGCCAGCGUACGUCGCCCCCGAUGGGUUCUUACUCAUUCACGCAUUGGGUAAUCGAUACACUCGCAGACACACAUGGAGAAACGCUGCUCAGCCGCCAAAUGAAACCAUUAAGCGCUACAUAAAGCAGUCCACGUCGGGGGAAGUCGGGGCCAAACGCGGGUCAAGGGGGUGCGGAGGGGCAUGGAGAGCGGCUGGGGCGACGCUGGAAACAUUGCAACCAGAAGCUACGAUCGCCAGUGCCGCCAAACUGGCGACAGUGCCACACAGGCAGAAAAAGUUGUACUCUUGUGAAUUUACCACUUAUAUUUACGAUAUCUUAAAGUUUGAAAAAUAUAGAUACAUAAGUAUAAAGAUACAAAUAUAGAUACAUUAGUAUAAAGAUACAAAUAUACCUAUAUAGUAAAUUUGUAACAAAGAUACAUAAGUAUAAAGAUACAAAGAUAGAUACAUAAGU